This is a long non-coding RNA of Ceratitis capitata (Mediterranean fruit fly), 1150 nucleotides long. RefSeq lists it as uncharacterized. NCBI's taxonomy places the organism in Eukaryota, Metazoa, Arthropoda, Insecta, Diptera, Tephritidae. The record is from RefSeq and is a predicted model, not a curated record. The transcript is spliced from 2 exons.
CUUUUAAAUAUGCUGCUUUCGUUGAAGAAUGUUAGUAAGAACUAGCGAUUUAAAUUAAUUAAUUACUAUCAAAAAUUGCUGUAUUUCAACAAUUGUGAAAUUUUACAUGCUUUAUAGCCGUCAAAUGAUAAAUAUACUAAUACUUUUCUUCUUAUAGAUGACUAAAAUACGGAAAUGAGUUUAAAACCCUUUUAUCGUGUAAUAUAAUAUUAACAUUAUUGUAGAGUUUAUUUGAUUCGAUUAAAUAAAAACCAAGCCAGAGCUUUAUUUUUCGUCGUUGCUUUAGGAAGCAGGCUACCAGACAAUCAGAUAUCGCCGAUACCUUAGAAUGAGAUUAAAAUCAAAGCACAACCGAUGAAAUGAUUCAUUUAGUAGAGGACUAAGGUAUUGUCCGUAAAUCGCCCAUGUGGCUUAACGUAGACUUUUCUAUAACUUCUCAGUCCACUGGUCGAUGGGAUAUAAUUUUGUUUCACUUCUAUAAUUUUAUUUUUGAUUAUAAAUAAUUGUGACAAGAAGAAAACUUCGUAGCUUUAUUCUCUCUUGUACUAUAUGAAAAUCCUAAGGGGUUUGCAAGAGUUCAUCCCUACAUUUGUCUCGAAAUAAAGGAGGCAUGUCAUUGCCGUCACACAAAAUGAAUAAGCAGAAUAUUUUGGUUUAUACCGAAAUUGCUCCUUGUAUGUAUUUUUGUAUGUUACUAAUAAAUACAUUUAAAAUACUUGGCUAGGCAGGCGUAGCAGAAAAAUAAUGUAAAAAUGUUGUGUAAAUUAUUGGCUGGGGUAAGAUCAGCAUUGCCAAAGUUUUCCUAAAAUAACAACACGAUAUUUUCGCUACAGCAAAUUCAAUUUAAUUUAUUAUAAUUGCUAAAUUGUAAUAUAAAUAUAUAAUUUUUAAUGGUUUGCUAUAACAAUUAUUACUUCUCGACUGGGCUGUGAAGGUGAAAUCCCUCUACUAGCCCCAUUUCAAGUGAGGUGAAAUCCCUCCGGGACACUACAUUUGACGGUGGUGUUGAUACCACGGGCGAGUAUACCUAUCGACGGCACACGAGCUACUUAAUUUUCUUUAGAUUUUCCUCGCCUUUUAUACAAUUCUGCGCGCAGGCAUAAUGUUAUUUAAUAAAAAUAAAUUAUUACCUUAAAAGUUUUCCUUAAAA